This 459-nucleotide ribosomal RNA is filed under the name uncultured bacterium. Its description in RNAcentral is "partial 16S ribosomal RNA". It matches the Rfam family "Bacterial small subunit ribosomal RNA", at positions 338 to 795 of the family's 1533-position model. The record is from RNAcentral.
CCUACGGGAGGCAGCAGUGAGGAAUAUUGGUCAAUGGCCGGAAGGCUGAACCAGCCAAGCCGCGUGAAGGACGAAGGUGCCAAGCAUUGUAAACUUCUUUUGUCAAGGGACAAAAUCAGGCUCGAGAGCCUGACCGAGGGUACUUGAAGAAAAAGCAUCGGCUAACUCCGUGCCAGCAGCCGCGGUAAUACGGAGGAUGCGAGCGUUAUCCGGAUUUAUGGGGUUGAAAGGGUGCGUAGGCGGACUGUUAAGUCAGCGGUAAAAGCCCGGGGCUCAACCCCGGCGAGCCGUUGAAACUGGGUGUCUUGAGAUGUCGAGAGGUAUGCGGAAUGCGCAGUGUAGCGGUGAAAUGCUUAGAUAGUGCGCAGAACUCCGAUUGCGAAGGCAGCAUACCGGCGGCGAUCUGACGCUGAGGCACGAAAGCGUGGGUAUCGAACAGGAUUAGAUACCCCAGUAGUC